GACGAACGCUGGCGGCGUGCUUAACACAUGCAAGUCGAACGAUGAAGCCGGAGCUUGCUCUGGUGAAUUAGUGGCGAACGGGUGAGUAACACGUGAGUAACCUGCCCUUGACUCUGGGAUAACUGCGGGAAACUGUAGCUAAUACCGGAUACGACCCUCGGAGGCAUCUCCUGGGGGUGGAAAGAAUUUCGGUCAAGGAUGGACUCGCGGCCUAUCAGCUAGUUGGUGAGGUAAAGGCUCACCAAGGCGACGACGGGUAGCCGGCCUGAGAGGGUGACAGGCCACACUGGGACUGGGACACGGCGCAGGCUCCUACGGGAGGCAGCAGUGGGGAAUAUUGCACAAUGGGCGCAAGCCUGAUGCAGCAACGCCGCGUGAGGGAUGACGGCCUUCGGGUUGUAAACCUCUUUUAGCAGGGAAGAAGCGAAAGUGACGGUACCUGCAGAAAAAGCACCGGCUAACUACGUGCCAGCCGCCGCCGUAA
Molecule: ribosomal RNA, 484 nt
Filed under: uncultured bacterium
Lineage: Bacteria
Description: partial 16S ribosomal RNA
Rfam family: Bacterial small subunit ribosomal RNA
Source: RNAcentral